UUUACUAAACAAAAAUGCACUCCGUUGGGCGUUGGCUAAUGAGAAUUAUAGCAUCAUAAUUGGGACCAUGUUUCGGCGGUUCAGAAAACAAGAGUGUCUCGAAUCAACUGACCAUACAACAAUACACUUCAAACCGUUCCAUCACAACACCCAUUAUUUUGAACCAAUUCAAAAGGCUUUGGUGGCGCGGAACGAUCGUCAGUUUGCCGUUAGAUAUCUUGACGACCAAAAGCGUAG
Long non-coding RNA from Zea mays, 237 nucleotides. RefSeq lists it as uncharacterized. NCBI's taxonomy places the organism in Eukaryota, Viridiplantae, Streptophyta, Magnoliopsida, Poales, Poaceae. The record is from RefSeq and is a predicted model, not a curated record. The transcript is spliced from 3 exons.